Molecule: ribosomal RNA, 433 nt
Filed under: uncultured bacterium
Lineage: Bacteria
Description: partial 16S ribosomal RNA
Rfam family: Bacterial small subunit ribosomal RNA
Source: RNAcentral
AGCGAACGCUGGCGGCAGGCCUAACACAUGCAAGUCGAACGGACCCUUCGGGGUUAGUGGCGGACGGGUGAGUAACACGUGGGAACGUGCCUUUAGGUUCGGAAUAGCUCCUGGAAACGGGUGGUAAUGCCGAAUGUGCCCUUCGGGGGAAAGAUUUAUCGCCUUUAGAGCGGCCCGCGUCUGAUUAGCUAGUUGGUGAGGUAACGGCUCACCAAGGCGACGAUCAGUAGCUGGUCUGAGAGGAUGACCAGCCACACUGGGACUGAGACACGGCCCAGACUCCUACGGGAGGCAGCAGUGGGGAAUCUUGCGCAAUGGGCGAAAGCCUGACGCAGCCAUGCCGCGUGAAUGACGAAGGUCUUAGGAUUGUAAAAUUCUUACACCGGGGACGAUAAUGACGGUACCCGGAGAAGAAGCCCCGGCUAACUUCGUG